RNAcentral lists this non-coding RNA (23 nucleotides) under Mus musculus (house mouse). Lineage: Eukaryota; Metazoa; Chordata; Mammalia; Rodentia; Muridae. The record is from RNAcentral.
UGGUGCUGCGAUGGCAUUGGUAA